Molecule: transfer RNA, 90 nt
Filed under: Verrucomicrobia bacterium ADurb.Bin118
Lineage: Bacteria; Pseudomonadati; Verrucomicrobiota
Also listed under: 1 other name
Description: tRNA-Ser
Rfam family: tRNA
About the family: Transfer RNA (tRNA) molecules are approximately 80 nucleotides in length. Their secondary structure includes four short double-helical elements and three loops (D, anti-codon, and T loops). Further hydrogen bonds mediate the characteristic L-shaped molecular structure. tRNAs have two regions of fundamental functional importance: the anti-codon, which is responsible for specific mRNA codon recognition, and the 3' end, to which the tRNAs corresponding amino acid is attached (by aminoacyl-tRNA synthetases). tRNAs cope with the degeneracy of the genetic code in two manners: having more than one tRNA (with a specific anti-codon) for a particular amino acid; and 'wobble' base-pairing, i.e. permitting non-standard base-pairing at the 3rd anti-codon position.
Source: RNAcentral
GGAGAGGUGGCAGAGUGGUUGAAUGCGGCGGUCUUGAAAACCGCUUUCCGCGUAAGCGGAACGGGGGUUCGAAUCCCUCCCUCUCCGCCA